UACUUUUUUAUCAUUAGUUAUUAUUAUUUAUAAUAAUGAUGAUGAAAACAUAAAACAAACAAACAAUCAUCCUUAUCAUCAUCAACAACAACAUGUUUAUGAUGAUAGACUUUCAACAUAGUUCCUGAC
RNAcentral lists this non-coding RNA (129 nucleotides) under Oxyrrhis marina. Lineage: Eukaryota; Dinophyceae; Oxyrrhinales; Oxyrrhinaceae. The record is from RNAcentral.